This 497-nucleotide ribosomal RNA is filed under the name uncultured bacterium. Its description in RNAcentral is "partial 16S ribosomal RNA". It matches the Rfam family "Bacterial small subunit ribosomal RNA", at positions 28 to 507 of the family's 1533-position model. The record is from RNAcentral.
GAUGAACGCUGGCGGCGUGCCUAAUACAUGCAAGUCGAGCGAACAGACGAGGAGCUUGCUCCUCUGACGUUAGCGGCGGACGGGUGAGUAACACGUGGAUAACCUACCUAUAAGACUGGGAUAACUUCGGGAAGCCGGAGCUAAUACCGGAUAAUAUAUUGAACCGCAUGGUUCAAUAGUGAAAGACGGUUUUGCUGUCACUUAUCGAUGGAUCCGCGCCGCAUUAGCUAGUUGGUAAGGUAACGGCUUACCAAGGCAACGAUGCGUAGCCGACCUGAGAGGGUGAUCGGCCACACUGGAACUGAGACACGGUCCAGACUCCUACGGGAGGCAGCAGUAGGGAAUCUUCCGCAAUGGGCGAAAGCCUGACGGAGCAACGUCGCGUGAGUGAUGAAGGUCUUCGGAUCGUAAAACUCUGUUAUUAGGGAAGAACAAAUGUGUAAGUAACUAUGCACGUCUUGACGGUACCUAAUCAGAAAGCCACGGCUAACUACGUG